This 224-nucleotide ribosomal RNA is filed under the name Pseudoroegneria spicata. RNAcentral describes it as "partial 18S ribosomal RNA". The record is from RNAcentral. Lineage: Eukaryota; Viridiplantae; Streptophyta; Magnoliopsida; Poales; Poaceae.
AUCAUAGUCAAAAUCUGAGUUUGAUCCUGGCUCAGAAGGAACGCUAGCUAUAUGCUUAACACAUGCAAGUCGAACAUUGUUUUCGGGGAGCUGGGCAGAAGGAAAAGAGGCUCCUAGCUAAAGUUGUCUCGCCCUACUUCAAAACUACAGGGCGCGCGCUACGGCUUUGACCUAACGGCCUCCGUUUGCUGGAAUCGGAAUAGUUGAGAACAAAGUGGCGAACG